CCUACGGGAGGCAGCAGUGGGGAAUAUUGCACAAUGGGGGAAACCCUGAUGCAGCGACGCCGCGUGGGUGACGAAGUAUUUCGGUAUGUAAAGCCCUAUCAGCCGGGAAGAAGAUGACAGUACCUGACCAAGAAGCCCCGGCUAACUACGUGCCAGCAGCCGCGGUAAUACGUAGGGGGCAAGCGUUAUCCGGAUUUACUGGGUGUAAAGGGAGCGUAGGUGGCAUGGCAAGACAGAAGUGAAAACCCGGGGCUUAACCCCGCGGAUUGCUUUUGGAACUGUCAGGCUGGAGUGCAGGAGGGGUAGGCGGAAUGCCUGGGGUAGCGGUGAAAUGCGUAGAUAUCAGGAGGAACACCGGUGGCGAAGGCGGCCUGCUGGACUGUAACUGACACUGAGGCUCGAAAGCGUGGGGAGCAAACAGGAUUAGAUACCCCGGUAGUC
RNAcentral lists this ribosomal RNA (441 nucleotides) under uncultured bacterium. RNAcentral's name for it is "partial 16S ribosomal RNA". It matches the Rfam family "Bacterial small subunit ribosomal RNA", at positions 338 to 795 of the family's 1533-position model. The record is from RNAcentral.